UACGUAGGGGGCAAGCGUUGUCCGGAAUCAUUGGGCGUAAAGAGCGUGUAGGCGGCUCGAUAAGUCUGCUGUGAAAGUCCAGGGCUCAACCCUGGAAGGCCGGUGGAAACUGUCGGGCUAGAGUCCGGAAGAGGCGAGUGGAAUUCCUGGUGUAGCGGUGAAAUGCGCAGAUAUCAGGAAGAACACCCGUGGCGAAGGCGGCUCUCUGGGACGGUACUGACGCUGAGACGCGAAAGCGUGGGGAGCAAACGGG
Molecule: ribosomal RNA, 253 nt
Filed under: uncultured bacterium
Lineage: Bacteria
Description: partial 16S ribosomal RNA
Rfam family: Bacterial small subunit ribosomal RNA
Source: RNAcentral